CCAACAUUUGAUCAUUAGUCUUAUUUGAAAUUUUUUUAUGAUUAAUAUUUUUAUUAUUACUAGAUGAUAAAAUGUGAAUAGUACUUUAUACGUGACUAAUUUUUUUAAGUUUUUGUAUAAAUUUUUUAAAUAAGACGAAUGGUCAAAUACGGAAAAACA
RNAcentral lists this microRNA precursor (159 nucleotides) under Oryza brachyantha (malo sina). RNAcentral's name for it is "MIR812 microRNA precursor family". It matches the Rfam family "MIR812 microRNA precursor family", at positions 27 to 191 of the family's 205-position model. The record is from Rfam by way of RNAcentral. Lineage: Eukaryota; Viridiplantae; Streptophyta; Magnoliopsida; Poales; Poaceae.